GAAUGGUAUGAGGAUUAUGAG
RNAcentral lists this non-coding RNA (21 nucleotides) under Arabidopsis thaliana (thale cress). Lineage: Eukaryota; Viridiplantae; Streptophyta; Magnoliopsida; Brassicales; Brassicaceae. The record is from RNAcentral.